This 1367-nucleotide long non-coding RNA is filed under the name Struthio camelus australis. RNAcentral describes it as "lncRNA (ENSSCUG00000013984.1)". Lineage: Eukaryota; Metazoa; Chordata; Aves; Struthioniformes; Struthionidae. The record is from RNAcentral.
UCUGGGCUCUCUGGGCUCCCCAUUGCUCCAAACAGGGAGAACUUCGUCCUCCAAAAGCCAUGGGGGGCACUUCUUGGCCUGGCAGGAGCAUCGCGUCCGGGGCCACGUCUCAGGCUGUCACAAACAUCCUUGGGCUGUGGAUUUCCCUGCUGCAGCAUCCACAUGUGGAAGAGUGCAGGCUUAUAUGAAGACAUGGUCAGGAGGACCAGCCUGUCACUUGAUGCACGUUUGGGGCCAACAUAAACCAGCCAAAAGAAGCAGUGGUGGCUUUUGUUUAAAACAUGUUUUUUCUCAGCCAAAUUUGUUCAUCUCUUGGCUACAAGAAAACAUUUGUGCCAACACAAAGAAGGAGGUGUUAUGGGGGUAGAAAUGAGGGGUUGGAGAUGGGAGCAAUCCAGCUUCUUUCCACAGCAGUGCUGGCUUAGGGUGGCAAGUGAGAGUCUCAGUUUUACUUUGACUUCUUAUCAAAUCCAUUCUCAGUUCCCUGUGUGACAACUGCUCAUGCUGGAGGAGUGCUCCCACACUAGGUCACCUGCCGAUGUCCCUGUCUGCAGGUAGGCCCUGCUGCAGAUGUCUGCUUCAACUGCCUGCCUUCUGCUUCAGCACCUUGCUCUCUGUUUUGUCCAUAUUGCCUUGUUGACAGAGUACAGAAGGCUCCACUCUGCCCCAGACAAGACUGUAAAAUCACCAAUAUGAUGUCUUCAAGAAAGAUUUCUCACUGAUCCCUGCAAGAAAUCUCCAGAUGAUAAGUGCUAUGAGAUGGCUGGUGAGGACUUCUCAUAUAUAGCUAUUUUUUGACCUAUUUAAGUUCCCAAUAUUGCCCUCAGGUAAUUUCAGCAAAUGCAUCAUUGUGGCAGGUGAACAGAUGAGAGGUGUGGGGUUUGUGUGGUGCUCUAAGAUAAGGAGCCCGUUUUUGCCUUGCCAGAACAAGGGUAGCAUAAAGGGAGACAGCAGAAUGGCUUCUGCUUGGGGCCUUCGAUAAGUGUCCACCCCUUGGUCAGGGUCAGGGAUGUAUAAAGUCAUUCCCUAAGUGCUGUUAGGUCUUCAGUGGGUGCUCUCUUUCCUCCUUAUGAUGGCAUGGGCCCAGUAAGCAUUUGGGAGGAAACCACGCCUGAAGCUAGCCCAAGGAGAUCAAUCCUAUCACAGUAAAUAAGGGAGGGGAAGAGACAGAGAGAAAAGAGGGAGAUGGAAGAGGUUUGAUAGAGGUCUUUAGACGAGGAUCCUGAAACUUAUUCCCAGGCCGCAGAAACCGCACUGGAAAAUUUGCUUCAAAUUACUUGCUGUCAGGGACGGAGACGGAGACGGGACUCCGAAGAGCAACGUUAAGCAUUGCAAACUGAGACGGGGCCUCUUGGUGUCGAUUAACA